Molecule: long non-coding RNA, 396 nt
Organism: Uranotaenia lowii
Lineage: Eukaryota; Metazoa; Arthropoda; Insecta; Diptera; Culicidae
Exons: 3
Source: RefSeq, a predicted model, not a curated record
UUCAGGCAUCUGGAGACGAGCCCAGCGGAAACGCAGACGGAGGACAGUACCGAGCUCGAAGGAAAUAACCGGAAAAAGAAAACAAAAAUAAACAGCUGUAAAGGAACAAGCCUUGUAUCCAUUUAACCGACGGUGGAAGUUAGAAGUUGGAUAACGAAAACGACCCCAAGUGGGUCGUUGUUGCAGAGCCGAGUGUCGUUGUUCGGGAGCUCAACGCACUAUUGAGCCCAGCUCAUUCUUUUGGCCAUGCCGGAAGCAGACAGCGGAGGUGCUCCGGGCAGUGGUGCGAGCCCGUGGAGCAGUGCAACCAGGCAGGGUUGCCAGAAAAUCCGAGAUAUUAAGCUGUGAUACACCUGUGCCGUCCGAGCUGUGAUAUGAUUGUUGUUAUUGUUUGGA